AACAGACUCCGACCCAGCACAGUGUUUAUGUGGGUCAAAAAUAGGAAAACGGGCCGGGCGCGGUGGCUCACGCCUGUAAUCCCAGCACUUUGGGAGGCCGAGGCGGGUGGAUCACGAGGUCAAGACAUCAAGACCAUCCUGGUCAUUAUGGUGAAACCCCGUCUCUACUAAAAAUACAAAAAAUUAGCUGGGCAUGGUGGUGCGUGCCUGUAAUCCGAGCUACUCAGGAGGCUGAGGCGGGAGAAUUGCCUGAACCCAGGAGGCGGAGGUUGCGGUGAGCCGAGAUCGCACCAUUGCACUCCAGCCUGGGUAACAAGAGUGAAACUCUGUCUCAAAAAAAAAAAAAGGAAAACUGUGUCCGGGCGCGGCAGAGGCGGGAAGUUUUCUUCAGGCCAGGAGUUCAAGAGCAGCCUGGCAACGUAGUGUGACCCCAUUUCUGUAGUCCCACCUCAGCCUCCCACCUACUUGAAGCCCAAGGUUCAAGGCUGCAAUGAGCUCUGAUCCUACCACAGCACUCCAGCCUGCGAGACUGAGGCAUGAGCCUAUUCUAUAUGUGAAGAUUUACAACUUGAUAAACCAGCUUCAGGAGAAAGAGAGGCAUGGAAUCAGCAGAGCCCUGGCUGCAUGACAAGGAAGGUGAUAUGAUCCUGCAGCCCUUAUACAGCGUCCUGACCUGACGCCAUGAGAAGCACACGCCGGCACCUGCCAAGAUGCUCAACCUGAAUCUAAUCAUGGGGAAACAUUGGACGAACCCAGAUGAUGCAGGACAUUCUCCAUGACGGCUAGCCUGGAAGUCUAAGAAACAGCAGUGCUGUGAAAGACAGAAAUAAAACAGGAAAAAGGUGGAACAGCCCCAGUGGCUCAUGCUCCAGUGGUUCAUACCAUAGUAGCUCCUGCUCCAGUGGCUCAUGCUCCAGUGGCUCGCACUCCAGAGGCUCAUACUCCAGUGGCUCACACUCCAGUGGUUCAUGCUCCAGUGGCUCCUGCUCCAGUGACUCAUCCCAGCACUUUGGGAGGCAGAGGUGAGUGGAUUACUUGAGCCCAGGAGUUCAAGAUGAGCCUGGACCACAUGAGAUGAUGGGGGCAACAGCAGUGACCACAACUUUGAGAUAGUGCAUUUGUUUUUUGUAUUUUUUGAGAUGGGGGUCUCAGUCUGUCACCCAGGUUGGAGUGCAGUGGCGCCAUCUCAGCCCAUUGCAAUCUUGGCCUCUUGAGUUUCAGUGAUUCUUCUGUCUCAGCCUCCCCCCGAGAGUAGCCCGGAUUAUAGGAGCCCGCCACCACACCUGGCUAAUUUUUGUAUUUUUAGUAGAGAUGGGUUUUCAUCAUGUCGGCCAGGCUGGUCUUGAACUCCUGACCUCGGGUGAUCCACCCGCCUCGUCCUCCCAAAGUGCUGGUAUGACAGGCAUGAGCCACCAUGCCUGGCCGGGCCGAGGUGGUGGAUCUGCAAGAGAAACUCGAUUCACUUGUUCAUGGCUCCCUGCCGGUUCAGGACAUGGAUGAUGUGGAGAAGCUGGUGCCUCUCUAUAGGAAAAAAACCCAAAAAAGUAGAACAAUGGCCAACAAAGUUAAAGGAUCACGAGAUCCAGUGCUGAGACAAGGCAGAGGAGGGGCUGAAAUGGCCGUCAGAGGGGAGAGCCCCAGGCAGCAGGGACUUUUGCAAGUGUGUAGGGAGAAAUUAGAAGUUCCAAUGAAGAAAAAAAGUGUGAGGUCUUUGGGGCCAGCUUUCAGCUGGUCUAAAGCUGAAUUAUAGGAAGAAGGUGAGGGAGGCAGAGACCAAGUGUGGGAGGACCUCCUGUGUCAUGCCAGCAGUCUGGACUCCACCCCGUAGCUGACAGGGAGCCAGAAAAGGGCUUGGAGCAAACACGUGGCACAUUUGUGGGUAAGGCACGUCUUCCUUGUGGCCUUGAGGGAUGGACUGAAGGGGGUGGAAAGUGGGAGCAGGACAGCCUCUUCAAUGGUCAGGUGAGAGGUGGAUGGGUGGCAGGGGCUGCGGAGAAGGUGGCUAAGUUGAGCUCCAGUCCCCAAAGGGUGCUGUGGGGCAGAGGAACUUCCAGCUAACAAGUCACUUAGCUUCUUAGAUCAGUUUCCUCAUCCUUCAAAUGAAGGAAACAUGAAUCAUUGAUAAGAUGUCCCCUCUUUCCAAAAGCGUGAAAUGAUUAUCAGGCCUCUUUCCACAGGCAGUGGGACCUCACCUCAACCCUGGAAAAGAACUGGGAAGUGUUUUUCAGCCAGGUGCGGAGGGAGGGCCACAUGGGCCUCCCAACCCAUCCCCAGGGCCCCUCUCCAGCUCCUCUUUCUGGUCCUCCCCAGGGGAAGGUGCAGGCUGAAAAGAGAAGAGGGAGUAGAAGGUCCUCAUAGACACACAGCCCCCUGGGGCCCCACCAGUCCGAGGCCCCUGCAGCCCCGUGGGACUCGGUCACCGCCGGACCCGAGAGUACAGCUUCGAGGCCCUGGCGCCUCCGGCACCGCUGCUUAGAGCUGUCACCCUUGACUGUUUUUCCCCUGGAAAAGCUUUAGUGAGAAGAGGAGAGAAGGCUGACUGGGGCCAACAAAAAACACAAAACCCCGAAGCGUUUUCUCCGGAUUCGGAUUAAACUGCUCGGAGAGUAGUUAAGUUACUUCAAGGCAUGAUCAACCACUGUGCUCCAGCCUGGACCAUAAGAGCGAGGCCUUGCCUCAAAACACAAAAUCAAUCAUCAACCCGCGCAGGACGACCAGCCACGUCGCCUUCGGUCCCUACGUCUUCCUCCCACCCAGCAGGCGAUGCCCUGCUCGGUUGCAGGGAUCGGGGCGGCCAGAGGUCCUAGGUGGACGCGCCCGCCCCCGCCGCGGGGAGCCGCUAACGUCAAGGAGGCGAAACCCAGAAGCGGCCGCAGCAGACGAAGAAGGGAACCGGCGCGAGGGCGGAAGGAACUCGGUUUCUCUUUCUCCCGGG
Molecule: non-coding RNA, 2935 nt
Organism: Callithrix jacchus (white-tufted-ear marmoset)
Lineage: Eukaryota; Metazoa; Chordata; Mammalia; Primates; Cebidae
Source: RefSeq, a predicted model, not a curated record